CCUACGGGCGGCAGCAGUAAGGAAUCUUGCGCAAUGGGCGAAAGCCUGACGCAGCGACGCCGCGUGGGCGAUGAAGGCCUUCGGGUUGUAAAGCCCUUUUGGCAGGGAAGAGCAAGGACUGUACCUGCAGAACAAGUCACGGCUAACUACGUGCCAGCAGCCGCGGUAAUACGUAGGGACCGAGCGUUGUCCGGAAUCAUUGGGUGUAAAGGGUCCGCAGGCGGAUGUGUAAGUCGGAGGUGAAAUCUUCCCGCUCAACGGGAAAACUGCUUUCGAUACUGCACGUCUUGAGUACGGGAGAGGGUGGUGGAAUUCCUGGUGUAGCGGUGAAAUGCGUAGAUAUCAGGAAGAACACCGGUAGCGAAGGCGGCCCCCGGGCCCGUUACUGACGCUCAGGGACGAAAGCGUGGGGAGCAAACAGGAUUAGAUACCCUGGUAGU
Molecule: ribosomal RNA, 440 nt
Filed under: uncultured bacterium
Lineage: Bacteria
Description: partial 16S ribosomal RNA
Rfam family: Bacterial small subunit ribosomal RNA
Source: RNAcentral